UGCCAUUAUCAUUUGUUAUAUACAUGUAAUUAUUACACAUAAUUAUGUAUGUGAAAGUAAAUGCCAGAGAUUACCAGUGGGCACUGCACCGGCAUCCUUGCCAAGGUGUGUGGGGUGGGCUUGUGGCCCCCAGAAGGGAUGGGGUCUCCGGCGGAAGGUGCAGUGCUGGGGGGCCAGAUUCCACUAGCCAGCCCUUCCUGACAACUGCUGCUACAGUGGCCAGGAGCACCAGGCUCUUGUAAAUUGCCAGAACACAGGGCUCCUUUUGCUCCCACCCAUCAGCGGCCCUGCCAGUAGCAUGCAACAGCGUUGCUGGACCCUAAGGCAGGGCCGCUGAUGCGGGGGACGGGGGGGAGGGAAUGUGAUAAAGUGGACAGCGAUGUUAAAGCAUAAAGCACUGCCACAGCGGAAGUGUAACGUCAGUCGUGUAUGGGCCGGUACCGGUGGCCGGUUCUUAUCAGUAUGCUGGACCGGCCCACUUUCACCUCUGGUAAUUAUGAUGUUUAUUCUAAAUAUCAGUGUUGUUAGUUUUCAGAAACGUAUUUGCAGCACAAAGACAUCAGUACGGUAGAAACAACAAAAGAGGCUAAUACUGCGUUUAGAAGACAUAUAGCAAUUCUUCUAAUGAAGGAGUCAGGUAAGUACUUUCUACCAUGUACUGUGGACUCAUUAGGUACAUGUGAAGAUAACAGGAAGAGUGGAAUUAUGUCACGUAGCAGUAUUAUCUUAAUACCCCUAAAGUGGCAUAUCUCAAAGGUUUGGUUCUGUAAUGGUGACUAUGAAUCAAUAAUAUCUUUAAGUACACAAAAAUUUGAAUGGGGUGAAUGGUUGCUAUUGAUCGACCAGUUGAAUGAAAUUGGUAUUCUUAUAUACAGAUGCAAUAAAGUAAAAAUUUGAGAAAAUAUGACUCACAAAAAAGAAAAAGAUAUGUUCAAACCAGUGACUGGAUUAAAAUUUGAUAUUAAUUAAUAAAUCAAGAUUUGCAUUUUCAGUGUUGGUCGUAACGUAUUCAUCAUUUCAUAGCACUAUAUUUAUUGAUAAGAAAGCAUGGAGGACUACUGCAUAUACUGCAACCUUGUAAACUGUGAAAAGGAAAGUAAGGCUUGCACGAUGGUCCAGUGUGAUUCUUGCAAGAGGUGGGCACAUAUGCCCUGCAUUACAGAAGGAACCUAUCAAAACUACCUGACUGAUGAGAAGAAAGAGUACAACUGCAAAAAAUGUGCAUAGUUCCCUUCUUUACCAAAAAAAAAAAAACCAACAACCCAUUAUGUUUAAAUGUCUCUUGUUCAAAACAUAAUGCAACCAAAAGAAAUUUUUUUCUUUAUAUACCAGAUUAUAAUAAUAAAUGUUUUUCAUUUGAAAAAAA
Molecule: long non-coding RNA, 1366 nt
Organism: Dermochelys coriacea (leatherback sea turtle)
Lineage: Eukaryota; Metazoa; Chordata; Testudines; Dermochelyidae
Exons: 2
Source: RefSeq, a predicted model, not a curated record